This 19-nucleotide small RNA is filed under the name Arabidopsis thaliana (thale cress). RNAcentral's name for it is "ATSL260530". Lineage: Eukaryota; Viridiplantae; Streptophyta; Magnoliopsida; Brassicales; Brassicaceae. The record is from RNAcentral.
AUAAAAAACCAAAAAAAAA